CCGCGAUUCGCCCUUCGGGGCGCACCAGGCGCGAAAACUUUACAAUGCUGGCAACAGCGAUAAGGGGACCUCGAGUGCCAGGAUACAAUCUUGGCUGUCGCGAUGCCUAAAAAGCAUUGCAUAGCAAGGGCCGGGCAAGACCGGUGCCAGCCGCCGCGGUAACACCGGCGGCUCGAGUGGUAACCGCUAUUAUUGGGUCUAAAGGGUCUGUAGCCGGCCGGAUAAGUCUUUUGGGAAAUCCAGCUGCUCAACAGUUGGGCUUUCAGAAGAUACUGUUCGGCUCGAGACCGGGAGAGGUGAGAGGUACUUCAGGGGUAGGGGUGAAAUCUUGUAAUCCUUGAAGGACCACCAGUGGCGAAGGCGUCUCACCAGAACGGAUCUGACGGCAAGGGACGAAAGCUAGGGGCACGAACCGGAUUAGAUACCCGGGUAGUCCUAGCCGUAAACGAUACUCGCUAGGUGUCAGCCACGGUGCGACCGUGGUUGGUGCCGUAGGGAAGCCGUGAAGCGAGCCACCUGGGAAGUACGGCCGCAAGGCUGAAACUUAAAGGAAUUGGCGGGGGAGCAC
This 568-nucleotide ribosomal RNA is filed under the name uncultured archaeon. RNAcentral's name for it is "bacterial SSU rRNA". It matches the Rfam family "Archaeal small subunit ribosomal RNA", at positions 311 to 879 of the family's 1478-position model. The record is from RNAcentral.